RNAcentral lists this long non-coding RNA (1802 nucleotides) under Homo sapiens (human). RNAcentral describes it as "HSALNT0345045". Lineage: Eukaryota; Metazoa; Chordata; Mammalia; Primates; Hominidae. The record is from RNAcentral.
GAGCACCGCUUCGCCACGUGAUCGGCAGCGCGCCCGGAGUGAUCCGGCUGCGGGCCAGGGUCUGGGAAGGGGGUGGUGGGUCGCCGUUUCAUCAGAAGCCGGAGGACGGGCGCCAGGGGGCAACUUCCUACAGGAGGGCGUCCCGUUAGAAUGACAGGGCUUUUGCAAAAGUCUGACACCCGUGGCACAGAGCGCCCCAGAUAUGGAGGGUUUCACAGGCUCAUGUGUGGCUUCUUCAGUCCUCUCUUCAUUCACUCAUGUAUUCAUUUAUUCAACGACAUAUUACUAAGGAACCUCCUUAAGCCGGGAUGCUGAACGUGGAAAAAUAGUUGACUCUUGAACAAUGUGGGGGCUUGGGGCACCAACCCCCUGUGCAGUUGAAAAUCGACAUAUAACUUUGACUCGCCAAAAACUUCACUACAAUAGCCUGCUGCCAACCUGAAGUCUUACCAAUAACAUCAACAGUCAAUUAAACAUAUUACUAGGCUGAAAAGGAGAAGGAAGUGAAGGGGUUGGUCUUGCCGUCUCACGAGUGGCAGAGGCAGGAGAAAAUCCAAAUAGUAUAGAUGUUCUUCAGGCUGGAUGCAUAUUGCCAGAUUUGAAUACUAACCUUUUAGGAAGGUUAGUAUUGACCUUUCAUUCUUGCUACUGGGGAAAAUUAAGUUAAAUAAUCUCAAUAAGGUCUUGGUUUGUGGACUUGGGGAAAAUUAUAGCUCAUCUUGCAAAAUAGCCAUAUGAGAAUUUUUACGAAUGAAUCAUUUACUGUAUGCCUGGGUAAAAAUAGCGGCACACCUUAUCUAGUGCUUUAGCUUUGAAUCUCAAAGUACACAGCCAAUUUGUAUUAUGAAUAAGGACUUCAUAACCCAUAUUGUCGACUUAAAUGGUAUUAAGUGGUGGCUGGUCAGGGAGAAGGUGGAGAGGCUAGAAACCAGGGAAUACCACCUUGCCAAAGGCUUAAAUACCAUUAGGCAGAACCAGUAUAUAUUUAUAUUCUUUGCUUAUUCAUCCUCUGUUCAUGACUAGUGUGGUCAUAAAUUAUAUUUAAACCUGUAACUUUAUAUACAUAUAAUGCAAGGCAUAGCAACAUUGCAUGCAGAAUUUCAUGACAAGUGGCCUGCAUUUUUGUGAGGAAAAAAAAAUAUGUCAAGCUGCUUUUAGGACUGUAACUAACCACUUGGCUAUUGCAUGCCUUGUGCCUUAGGUCUGGGAUGUUUCUCUUGCAUGCCUCUGGAAUCAAAUGACUCUGAUACUGCAAGCACUUCAGAGUAUGUAUAAGCAAUUUCAGCUGGUUCCGUCCUGAUAUUUACAAAACUGCCUGGAUCAUACUUACAACCAUGCAAUGAUAUAUAUUUCUAUUAAGAAAGCAACGAUUUGCUUGAAAGAUGAAGGAAAACAAACUAAGUAUUUAUGUACAAUGAGUCCUAAGUGUACACCACUAUGUUUUCCAUCAGCUUUUGAUUUUCUGUCACUCCUCUUUUUCUUUGAAAUUUAGAGUCAGAAGUGAACUGACUUCAUGGUUUUCCUCAUGAUUAUUUGAUAUCCUCUAGGGAAUCAUGACUUAAAGACUGCAUUCUUCCUUCUCAAAACUCAUGUUAAAGAUUUCUCCAUGCAGAGCCACAGGCUAUUUUGGAGUUUGAAAUGGAGCAGUUAAAACUAGGAGGUCACACACGUUGAGAUUAUUCCUUCACUGCAUCUCGCCCGGCUUGUGUGCCUGAGGAGACACGCAUCUCAGAGGGCAGAGGGGCAGCCGUUGUCUAGUGAGGUUAUUUCACCUACUAUAUAAUAAAAUGUACAGGACAAUA